This 253-nucleotide ribosomal RNA is filed under the name uncultured bacterium. RNAcentral describes it as "partial 16S ribosomal RNA". It matches the Rfam family "Bacterial small subunit ribosomal RNA", at positions 524 to 776 of the family's 1533-position model. The record is from RNAcentral.
UACGAAGGGGGCUAGCGUUGCUCGGAAUCAUUGGGCGUAAAGGGCGCGUAGGCGGCGGGGUAAGUCGGGUGUGAAAUCUUGGAGCUUAACUCCGAAACUGCAUUCGAUACUGCCGUGCUUGAGGACUGGAGAGGAGACUGGAAUUUACGGUGUAGCGGUGAAAUGCGUAGAUAUCGUAAGGAAGACCAGUGGCGAAGGCGGGUCUCUGGACAGUUCCUGACGCUGAGGCACGAAGGCCAGGGGAGCAAACGGG